UUGAUGUGCGCUAGUGGGGAAUCCAGACUCUCUGGGAAGGCCUUAAUCCUGUUGAUUUCGACAUUCUACUUUACGUCCCCUGUUACUAAAUUCUAUUUCAGUAUUUUACCUUUAUGCUCGCUACCCCGUUUUCACCAUUUUACUACUAUGUUGGAUUUCCUACAACUUGCAGGCAUGGCUAUUUAAAAAGUAAAUGUGGAUGUCUGGGUAGUGCACCCACUAGAUUAAUUACACAUGUAAUCCGCCAACACUAAAUGCAAAUUUGCAACACACUUAUCUAUAUAUUAAAUGAGGGCAUAUCUUAGCAUGAUAUGGUCAGUCUUAUUAAUGCUUUAACAAAUAUACCAAUCUUAGAAAAUCAAUUUUAGCAAAAAAAAAGCCCGCGAGCAUUCAAUAUGGUUACCAGAUAUCGCAAGGCCAUCCAUAAGAUUUAAGAUCUUAUCCAACAAACUAAAUCUACAUGUAGAUUUGUUGGAUGGAGAGAUGUGGUAUUUAAGUGUGCUCACCACCAUAGCCCAUAUAAAAAACCAUGUGGUGUAGAAGUCUUGCAUAACCAAAGAUUGAUCAACACACCUGCCUAGUGUUAACAUCUUCCACAAGAAAGAUGGCUAGUUCUUAAGUAAUGUGGGUGUUCUGCCUCCUAGCUUUACUGGCUUUAACUUCUUGUUCUUAUCAUGUACGAGCAGAAGAUCAUGCCACCAAGGAGAAAAAUGAGGUUUCAUCGUUCCAGAUUAUAGUGCGCCACCACCUCCAGAACACUAAUCGUAAGGCCGGUACGGUCAAAUUAGGAGAGAGGAGUGUUAUAAUAUGGAGCACUUAGUCUAAGGCAAUCUUAUCGAACAAAGGAAGGGAUGCUAUGAUAUUGAUGCUUUAUCAUAGGACCUCUGCAAUAAUGUAUCUUACUUUUAAUUUUAUGACUAAUAAAAGGACUGCCCGCAUGUUCUCUUUGUGUUUA
Molecule: long non-coding RNA, 955 nt
Organism: Aegilops tauschii subsp. strangulata
Lineage: Eukaryota; Viridiplantae; Streptophyta; Magnoliopsida; Poales; Poaceae
Source: RefSeq, a predicted model, not a curated record